RNAcentral lists this ribosomal RNA (500 nucleotides) under uncultured bacterium. RNAcentral's name for it is "partial 16S ribosomal RNA". It matches the Rfam family "Bacterial small subunit ribosomal RNA", at positions 30 to 523 of the family's 1533-position model. The record is from RNAcentral.
AUUGAACGCUGGCGGAAUGCUUUACACAUGCAAGUCGAACGGCAGCACGGACUUCGGUCUGGUGGCGAGUGGCGAACGGGUGAGUAAUGUAUCGGAACGUGCCCAGUCGUGGGGGAUAACGUAGUGAAAAUUACGCUAAUACCGCAUACGAUCUAUGGAUGAAAGCGGGGGAUCGCAAGACCUCGCGCGAUUGGAGCGGCCGAUAUCAGAUUAGGUAGUUGGUGGGGUAAAGGCCCACCAAGCCAACGAUCUGUAGCUGGUCUGAGAGGACGACCAGCCACACGGGAACGGGGAAACGGUCCAGACUCCUACGGGAGGCAGCAGUGGGGAAUUUUGGACAAUGGGCGAAAGCCUGAUCCAGCCAUUCCGCGUGCAGGAUGAAGGCCCUCGGGUUGUAAACUGCUUUUGUACAGAACGAAAAGGUUUCUACUAAUACUAGGAGCUCAUGACGGUACUGUAAGAAUAAGCACCGGCUAACUACGUGCCAGCAGCCGCCGUAA